UCCUUCAGAAGCAUAACUGCCUGUGUGGG
This 29-nucleotide non-coding RNA is filed under the name Rattus norvegicus (Norway rat). Lineage: Eukaryota; Metazoa; Chordata; Mammalia; Rodentia; Muridae. The record is from RNAcentral.